AAAAAGCAAACCAUAUGCAUCUUUUCAUUUUCUUAAUGGUCUGAAAAAACUUCCUCUCUUACCUUUUCAUCAUCUGAAACUUCUAGUUUGGCUCUCUCAUCCUGUCUUGCCUUUCCUGAUCUUCAGCAUAUUCAGGGACUCCCAUCUCCAGGUAACCUUCCUCUCCACUUCUUAGCGUUGCCGUUGCUAAAAUAUGAGCAAGGUUGUUCGCAGAUCUUAAUGUAUGUUGAAAACUGAUAUUUUUAAGCCGAAAAUUUUCUUCUGAAUAUCAUAGAUGUAUGUUCCUACCAUUGAUCGAUCUUGUUCUUUUGUGUUGCAUCUUUUGAUGAUUGCGAGGGAAUCGCCUUCAAAAAUGAGUGAUUGCCAGCCCUUGUCAAUACCUAUUUUGACUGCUGUCCAGCAUGCUAUGGCUUCAGCAGCAAAAGGAGACGAAACACCAUCGUGAAUUUUUGAGUAAGAUAAAAGAACAUGUCCUUCGAAUCUCGAACCACAAUGCCUGAAGCUGACCGAUUCUGGGUUUCUUUAUAUGCACCGUCAAAGUUUAUCUUGACAAACUCUCUCUGUGGCCCAAAGAGUGCAGUAGAAGAUCUGACCUUGACGAGAGUUGAGCUGCUCUACCGCCCAUGACAUUCCCGAAAGACAUGAUUCAUUGUUUCAGCUCGUUGGCCACAUCGAGGACAACUUGUAUUGGCAGUUAGUUUCCUGUGUUGUAAAUUUACCUUUGUAGGCAGAUAGUUCCAUGACAGUCUCCAUAUAGUAACCUUCACUUUAGAUGGUAGAUUUAGGCUCCAUAGUUGCUUAUAAAAAUUUUUGUAGAUGGUUUGUAAAGCAUAAGCUCUAGGAUUUUCAUCCAUUCUCUGUAAUAGUUUAUAAGCACUUCGGACUGUGAAAUCACCCGACGGCUCGCCUCCCCAAAUAAUAAAAUCUUCAUGAGGUGUCCGUGCUAGAGGAAUUCGGAGAAUUCGUGCUGCAUCAACUUCUGCGAAGGAAUAAUAUCUGUGCAUUCAUGGAGACCAUGUCCCACUCUGCCACACCCGAAGCAAAAAGUCGGUAACUUCUCGUACUUGAAUGGGAUCCAACAUUUAUGACCUGUACCAGUUGAAACAAAUAUACCCCUGCGGAGGGGUUUCUGCACAUUUAAUUUUAUCCUAAGGCGACAGAAUUCACCCAUAAUUUCAGAUCUAAGUACUCCUAUAGCAUGCAACAGAUCUUUUUUAUCAAACUCUGGUAAACAUGGCCCAAUUCUAACCCAAAACGGGGAUGAGACAAGUCUGAUUUGAUCUCUUUCCAUUGGUUUUAUCAAUCUUUCAAAAAGAACUAAAUGUUUUCUAAACAACCAUGGUUGGCCUUCCAGAACAGCUUCUAAGUCUUCCUCUAAUUCAAAACUUAUUAGAAAGAGAUUUUGCCCUGCUGAUUGAAUCUCAAAUUUUUCCUUUGUUUUCCAUAUGCUUUUCAUCUGUGCUUUAAAACUGUCUUGAUUAUAAG
Gossypium raimondii (Peruvian cotton) is the source of this 1485-nucleotide long non-coding RNA. RefSeq lists it as uncharacterized. The record is from RefSeq and is a predicted model, not a curated record. NCBI's taxonomy places the organism in Eukaryota, Viridiplantae, Streptophyta, Magnoliopsida, Malvales, Malvaceae. The transcript has 4 exons.